GUUUCAUAAUACAGCUUUCCAGGAAAAACCCUAUUAUUUAUGUUUUGAAUCACUUGUAUGUAUUUUUUAUGCUUGUAUUAAUCCACACCCCCAUCUUUGUUACGGAGGUUGAUAUCAAACCAGUAUCUGAAUGCUGAUACAUAGUAACACUUAACUCUUUAAUGCUAGCUUUUCUAAACAAUUUAUUGACAUUACAAACUAAAAAACUGUUUUCUAUCAAGUUAUAUGUUUCUUUUAGUCAAAUGGACUUGUUCUUGUCAAAAUCUCCGUAACGAUUCAUG
RNAcentral lists this long non-coding RNA (281 nucleotides) under Mytilus galloprovincialis (Mediterranean mussel). The record is from RNAcentral. Lineage: Eukaryota; Metazoa; Mollusca; Bivalvia; Mytilida; Mytilidae.